RNAcentral lists this long non-coding RNA (1020 nucleotides) under Brassica rapa (field mustard). Its description in RNAcentral is "long non-coding RNA (BRAP_LNC001164)". The record is from RNAcentral. Lineage: Eukaryota; Viridiplantae; Streptophyta; Magnoliopsida; Brassicales; Brassicaceae.
AUAUAUACAGCUAUAAUAAGACUUUGUACUAUUCUAUUUAUGAAAGGCAAAACGGAAUACUAGUGAUAAAAUUUAUCUUUCUUUCAUCUCUCCCUCUGUAUUUUUCCUCAAUCGCCAUUUCGCCCUCCUUAUUUUACUCGCUCUCUCUCUACUCUCUCUAUCUCUCUAAUAUGUAAUGUUCAGAUAAUAUAUUGUUGUAUUCUAUUCUAUUUACGAAGCGUAAAAUAGAAUUAGAAUUUAUACAUUCUCUCUCUCUCUCUCUCUCUCUCUCUCUCUCUCUCUCUCUCUCUCUCUCUCUCUCUCUCUCUCUCUCUCUCUCUCUCUCUCUCUCUCUCUCUCUCUCUCUCUCUCACACACACACACACACACACACACACAUCCCCAUCCUCAUCAAUCUAUUCGGCAUCCUCAUCUAUCUGUUUGACAUCCUCCCUUUCCUUCCCCUCCAUCCCUCUUUCUCUCUCUCUUUUCAUUGUCUUCCAUAAACUCAUCUUCGAAUUUUUCUCUAUAAUCUCCAUCUUUGCAUUUUUUUUCUUCUUUUUUCUCUUCAUUUUUUUCUUGUUGUUUAUAUAUCCAUUCAUAUACUAUACUAUAGAGUCAUCAAACAUAGAAUUAUAUAUUUUUAUUCUUUAUAAUAUAUAGCUAUAUUGAUUCUUUACGUAAUGUAUUUUGCACUAAAUAUUUGGCUUACUAAUAAAUAUGUUCUUUAAUAUUGUCCACUGCUUAAACUGCAUUAAAUCCUGUAAAUAAAUAGUACUAUAGAACUCAAAUUAUUGUCUAACAUUACAUUUUAUGUUUGGAAUAAUCUAUUCUAUAAAUGUGUUAUACAUAGAAUAGUAUAUGUUUCUAAUUUAUGGUAAUACACACGUUCACGCACCGUGAAGGACUAUAACGUCUGAUUAUAUCUCAAAAAAACAUAUUUUUCGAGGCAUGACUAUAUUUUUUAUUGUCAGGCUUCAUAUGAAUAUUGAGCGUGACCUCAACUAUCUAUUUGACAUCCUCCCUCUCCUUCCCCUCCAU